This 482-nucleotide ribosomal RNA is filed under the name uncultured bacterium. RNAcentral's name for it is "bacterial SSU rRNA". It matches the Rfam family "Bacterial small subunit ribosomal RNA", at positions 29 to 506 of the family's 1533-position model. The record is from RNAcentral.
ACGAACGCUGGCGGCGUGCCUAAUACAUGCAAGUCGCGCGUGAAAGUCCUUCGGGAUGAGUAAAGCGGCGCACGGGUGAGUAAUGCAUAGGAACAUACCCUCGGGUGGGGAAUAACCACGGGAAACUGUGGCUAAUACCGCAUAAUGACGUGAGUCUAAAGCAGGCCUCUGUUUACAAGCUUGCGCCAGAGGAGUGGCCCAUGUCCCAUUAGCUAGUUGGUAGGGUAAUGGCCUACCAAGGCGACGAUGGGUAGCUGGUCUGAGAGGAUGAUCAGCCACACUGGGACUGAGACACGGCCCAGACUCCUACGGGAGGCAGCAGUAGGGAAUCUUGCACAAUGGGCGAAAGCCUGAUGCAGCAACGCCGCGUGAGUGAAGAAGGCCUUUGGGUUGUAAAGCUCUUUCGGCCGGGAAGAAGGGGUAGCCUGCGAACAGUUGGCUAUUCUGACGGUACCGGAAGAAGAAGCACCUGCUAACUUCGU